RNAcentral lists this ribosomal RNA (410 nucleotides) under uncultured bacterium. RNAcentral describes it as "bacterial SSU rRNA". It matches the Rfam family "Bacterial small subunit ribosomal RNA", at positions 29 to 482 of the family's 1533-position model. The record is from RNAcentral.
AGCGAACGCUGGCGGCAGGCCUAACACAUGCAAGUCGAGCGCCCGUAGCAAUACGGGAGCGGCAGACGGGUGAGUAACACGUGGGAACGUACCCUUCGGUUCGGAAUAACCCAGGGAAACUUGGAUUAAUACCGGAUACGUCCGUAAGGAGAAAGAUUUAUCGCCGAAGGAUCGGCCCGCGUCCGAUUAGCUAGUUGGUGGGGUAAUGGCCCACCAAGGCUACGAUCGGUAGCUGGUCUGAGAGGAUGAUCAGCCACACUGGGACUGAGACACGGCCCAGACUCCUACGGGAGGCAGCAGUGGGGAAUAUUGGACAAUGGGCGCAAGCCUGAUCCAGCCAUGCCGCGUGAGUGAUGAAGGCCCUAGGGUUGUAAAGCUCUUUCGGCGGGGAAGAUAAUGACGGUACCCGC